AAGCGCUUGCAGCCAGACUUGCCUGUAGUUGCUCACCCGGGCUCUCGCCCGGUGCACUCUUCUGCGGGCAGGCCAGCAUCAGUUUGGGCGGCCGGAUAAAGGUCCCGGGAACGUAGCUCUCUUCGGGGAGUGUUAUAGCCCGGGGCGCCAUGCGGCCAGCCCGGACUGAGGUCCGCGCAUCUGCUAGGAUGCUGGCGUAAUGGCUGUAAGCGG
RNAcentral lists this ribosomal RNA (213 nucleotides) under Pseudotetraploa curviappendiculata. Its description in RNAcentral is "partial large subunit ribosomal RNA". Lineage: Eukaryota; Fungi; Ascomycota; Dothideomycetes; Pleosporales; Tetraplosphaeriaceae. The record is from RNAcentral.